This is an RNA transcript of Macadamia integrifolia, 2867 nucleotides long. It is a transcript of the gene named myosin-9-like, with no coding region annotated. The record is from RefSeq and is a predicted model, not a curated record. NCBI's taxonomy places the organism in Eukaryota, Viridiplantae, Streptophyta, Magnoliopsida, Proteales, Proteaceae. The transcript has 6 exons.
AUUUCCAUAAAGAAUAACUCAAACCAGAACAGAGCUUCAUUUCAAGGCCUUUCCUGCUCCACCUCACGUGGAACUGUGGAAGUGGAACCUCUCUCUCUAACCAUUCCGGUAGUCCAUCUCGCAGAUCACAGUUCACCCAAAGCCAAAAACCGCAUUCAGAACCCUAACGAGAAGAACACAAGGAAAGAGCAAAGAGGGAGAGAGAGAAUGUCAACAACAAGAAGACCAAAAUGGAAACCACCUCCACCUCCAAGCCCUAAAAUUCUCCACUUACCCAGGAGAACUCGCCGGAAAGCGACCAAAAAGGUAGCCAUCGGCAAGUUUAUUCCUGUCAGGGAACCAGAUUCUCUCUCUAACCAUAGAGAGAAGCUAGAGACUUUAUUUGAUCAAGAGAGUUCUUUCUCUCACACUGUUCCAAUGAACAGUGGGGACUCUGAGAGGAGAGGGAGAGUUAAGGACUUUGAUUAUGGAUAUGGAGAGAAAGGACGGGAUUUGGAAGAUGAGAAGUGGCGGUUUCAAGCGGAGAUUCUUCGUGCUGAGUGUCAAUUUCUGAGGAUGGAGAGGGAGAUUGCUUUGAAGAAGUUGGAGAAGAGCCGAGUUCAGAUGGAGAGGACUCUUCGUUCUGCAGUAGAAACAUUGAUUUCUGUGAGGAAGAGGAUCUACGAAGGAAAAAACUUCGGCGUUGUCUUAGAAGAGGAAAUUGAAGAUCUUGAAGAGAAACUGGAAGAGUUGCAGAGGAGGAGUCCAGGAAGAUUUAGAGAUUUCGAUGUUCAAAAGUGUAGUAAUUUUGAUAAGCAGGCAACGAUUCUACAAAGACGAUUAGAGAAGAUCGGAGGAAGAGGAAUUUCUGAAGAUGAGAGCGUGAAGGAGAUUCGAGAAAUAGCCGAGGCAAGCUUGGCGAUCGAUACGAACUGUAGAUCCGUUGACAGCUUCGUUUCGAAUCGUAAAACUCGAUUCACAGAUGUGGAGAAUCUUGGAAGGAAAAUGGAAGGGUUGUCGAAGAAGAUGUUGGAGAAGAUGGAAGAGGAAUACAAAUCCAUGGUCUCCAUUACGACUACUUCUACUUCCAGCUCUUUCUCUUCUUCCGGGAGAAUCGAAUUCCCUGAUACGGAUCCUUCUUCUAUAAUUCGACCACACCAUCCUCAGCAGCGGAGGACGGAGACAGUUUGCUCGGGGCGAUGCAAGUCGACAGUGCGGAAGAUAGUGGAGCAGGUAAGGGCAGAGACAGAGCAGUGGACCCAGAUGCAAGAGAUGUUGGGUCAGGUGAGGGAGGAGAUGGAGGAGUUGCGGGCGUCUAGGGAUUUCUUGGAAGAUCGAGCCAUCCACUGCGGGGACCGUAUCCGAUCCCUCCACUCCACUGAGCAAAAAUGGAGGCAGAAAGCUGUGUCCUCGGAGAACAUGGUAACAAAGCUACAAAAACAGAUAUCCGAUCUCUAUGUCGAGCUUGAAAGAUUGAGAAGCGAAUCAGAGAAGAAACCAACCAGAGAUACCCAGAAAGAGAAGGAGAAGCGGGUGUUGAUUUGUCGACUGAAGGAGAAUCAUCACAUCGGCAGCAGCUGCAAUAUCGGUAAACAGAACAAAGCGUACAGCUGCAGUAGUGGGCUUGUCACAGCCCGAAAUCGUUCUCCUCUGCAAGUUAUUGGGAAUUCAUCACCAUUGAAUAAGCAGAGUAGUCUUCCCUAGUCCUGCCGUAAGAUCACUUGAAGUUUGAAGUUAAAAUCCAUGAAGACCACUAUCUUAAUGACUCUGUUUCGCACCCCUAAACAUAUGAAGAAUCCCAACCAACUCAGAAGCUGUGAGGAAGCCACCGACGGAGCCAAGCUCAGGAAAAUCAUCUAUAUCAUUCAUUCCAGUCGUCAGUGCCUUAUUUACCCGACCUCCUCUCCCCACAAUGAAGAGUGUGUACAUCCCUUCUAGUGUGCUUAAAACAUUGAGAGUAUCAAUCGAAUUUGCCACAUACUUCUCUGUGUAUCCAACCUUGCCAUCAGCCACACAACUUUCGUAGAAUUCUGCUAUGCAUUCGUCGUCCAGCGUCAUCUCUUCUUCCAACUCCGGAGUGUGGAACAGAGUAGUAGACCUUAUGUUACUGCUGCUAGUACCACCUGAGGUAACCACCGAAUUUGUGUCUUGUAGGAGUCUGAUAACAGUAAGGUUAAUUCCAGGGUGAUGUGCAAUGCGUUUUGAAUAGGCUAAUGCUUCGCGAUCGUCUUUGCCGCCGAUGAAAAUGACCGCCACGUUUGGGGGCGUAUAAGAAGAUGUGACCUUGUCGAUCAAUCCAAAGCCACGGUCGACGAAUAUCCCCACUGAGCAUAGAGCAUGGCGAAGCACCUUUGGGCAAAUCACCAUAGGAAGUUAGGAACAGAAAAGAAUAAAUCAACCAUGGAAUUUGGUAUGAUCCUAUAUCAAUUAUAUUGUGGCUGAUGAGAUUUGAUGCGGGUUGAAAUGGUCUUGGAAUUGCUCACCUUGUAAGUCUGAUUAUGGGGAUGAAUUAUCCCAAUGUUCGUAUGAGGGGUAUCAAAAUAGUUGUAACAUUGUACCAACCCCCGGCUGGAAGAGGAGAGUUGAUGCCAGUCAAUCCCAUGAAACGUAAACCAACUUAUACGGUGAGGGAAUUCAAGACCAUAUCAACCCACACCUAAUCUCUUUUGUAACUAAUGUGUGAUCAACCCUGAUAUAGGUUCUUAACAAAUUAUAUUUAUAAAGGCAAUGACAGUCAAAAGUGGAUUUUAGAGGGCCUCUCACUUUGUGUUGAGAAUGUCUAAAUUUUGAGGGGAGAAGCAUAGAGUAUUCCACUAAUGGUUCAUGAGAAUGGAUCUUUUGCAUAUUCAUUCACCUUAUAUUUACAUGUGAGGAUCCAACAUUUGUCA